UACAGAGGGUGCGAGCGUUGUCCGGAAUCACUGGGCGUAAAGGGCGCGUAGGUGGCGACCCAAGUCCAUGGUGAAAGCUCGAUGCUCAACAUCGAGUCGGCCACGGAUACUGGGUUGCUGGAGCACUGUAGAGGCAGAUGGAAUUCCGGGUGUAGCGGUGGAAUGCGUAGAGAUCGGGAGGAACACCGGUGGCGAAGGCGGCUCUCUGGGCCGUAACUGACGCUGAGGAGCGAAAGCAUGGGGAGCGAACAGGA
This 254-nucleotide ribosomal RNA is filed under the name uncultured bacterium. RNAcentral describes it as "partial 16S ribosomal RNA". It matches the Rfam family "Bacterial small subunit ribosomal RNA", at positions 524 to 777 of the family's 1533-position model. The record is from RNAcentral.